UAAUCCAAAACCCUAAAUUCUCAAACAUAUGAUUCCCCCCUUUCUACCAAAUCUUCAUUGUAGCUUUACGAGAAGUAGAGAAGUAGACGUACAUCGAAAAUGUAGAUUUCUAUAACGCAUUCUUGACAGAAAGAACGAUUUUCUCUGUCUGUAUCAAUUUUUUCUUUUUCUUCCGAUCCUACAUUUCAUUGUUCUUCCGAUCUCUAUCUUUUCGUUUUGAAAUUUGAAGAUGAUGUUAUUCUUAGGUAUUAUUGCAUUUGCUGAUUUUUCACAUGCGAUUUUUUCCCAGGAAUCAUGUUUAGUGAGGCUAUGAUUAGAAUGAGAGAGGCUGGAGUGAGAUCUUUCUGUUUUGAAAGCCCUUCUUCACGUCAUCUCACUGUUUGAUUAGAAACAGAGAAGGUGCCGGCUGCUUUCUAUGCAUGCAUUGGUAUCUCUUCUGUUACUUCUUCUCACUUUCAGGUGACUGUGAUGGUUGGAUCAUCCACUAUGACAGUACUUAUACACUUGAUAUGAGCCUUUAAAAAAUAUCAAUUUUAAAGUACUGGUUUUUUCUUUCUUUUUCUUUGGUGUUCGAAGAUCAAUUCAUGUCAUAGAUUCAUGUAAAAUUAAUCUUUGGUAUUCUAAAAUUAUUGUUUAAUAUUAAUUUUUGAUGUUAUAUUGCAAGUUAGUUUAUCAAGCUUCGAUCUUUGCUUUGCAAAAUAGGAUUCGAGCUAAAUCCUAUUCUCACUUGGCGAGCUGAGUCCGAGCUUAGCUUUACUUGAUUCGAUUUGUUAAACACACUACGGAUGAACGAGACUAAAAUUGUUGGAGCUUUAUUCGGUGAGCUUGAAUUAAUUUUAAGUUCUACUACACUAUUUUAAUAUCUUUUAGUUUUUUCCCAUUUUUGUUAAAAAAAGUCUUCUCUUUGUUUUAUCUCUUUUCAUUCUAAAUAUACGAUCAAGAUUCAAAGUUUAUAAUCUAGGCAUAAAGCUAGCUUGUUUGAAGUUUGUUUUUCUAUAACAACAAGACGAAGUUUAUCUAGAAUGAGAAUAGAUCGAUUAUUGAAUCAAAUUUUUUUUAUUAGUUUUAAUCAUCAAUUUAGGCCUAUCUAUAGACAUAUCAAUAGAUACCUUUUCUAAAAAAAGGUAGAGAUCUUAAAAUACGUAUGCAGAAUACUCAUAUUUUAUCUCUUAUUGACUUAUUCUCAAUAUCACUGACACUGUCAUGAUAUUAAAACUUAAAGAUGUCAUAGUUAGGUUUAAAAUGAUGGUAUUGAUUAUCAAAGCUUAUAUUUUAUUAUCUAUUUUUAAUUAGAGCUGUCACGAUAUUACAUCUAUACUUAUACAUUGAGCUAAUAAUUUACUAUUAAUCUCGAACCCAAAGACCUAGUACUGAAUCCUGAUGAUUUUAAAUACUGAAUAAACAUAUAUAAAAUGCAACUUCAAUACUUUAUUGGUCUUAGAUUCUUAGAUACAUAAAUAUUAAAAUAUUUUAAAGAUCAAAUUAUAGUGUUUAUUCAUUCAUCAUUGACUAACUGUUUCGAGUAGAACACAGUAUCAAACAUAUAACUUUUUUUGCUAUAUAUAUGCAUAGGUGUUGAUUUUUUCUUCAUCCUCCAAUUCAAAACUCCUCUUUAUUAAGAUAGAUAACUAAUUAGCUAUGGGUGAAUUUGCUGUCUCUUCAGGUAUCUACAUUAGUUUUCCCUCCCUUUAUCUUUUUACUUAAAUGAUCACAAUUGUUAUUAUGAUAUCUGACAAUCCAUGAUUCUAAUUUUUUUUUAUAACGAAAGGUACCUCUGUACAAUUUAAAAGAUCUACCUUUGAGUAAUAUAACAGUGCCAUAUCGAAACCCUUAGCAAAUUUAAUAGUUACUGUGACUAGUUGAAUUAAUUUUCCUCUGUUAUAUAUAUCUGAUGAUAAUAUUAUGUAUCUACUCUAGAAAUUUUUCAUGAAGGUAUUUUCUUCUUUUUGAUUAUACUGUAU
Molecule: long non-coding RNA, 1961 nt
Filed under: Zostera marina
Lineage: Eukaryota; Viridiplantae; Streptophyta; Magnoliopsida; Alismatales; Zosteraceae
Description: long non-coding RNA (ZMAR_LNC001213)
Source: RNAcentral